This 648-nucleotide long non-coding RNA is filed under the name Pongo abelii (Sumatran orangutan). RNAcentral describes it as "lincRNA". Lineage: Eukaryota; Metazoa; Chordata; Mammalia; Primates; Hominidae. The record is from RNAcentral.
AAGUCUCUUCGCUGCUCUAAUCUCACUCCUCAGAGGUGAUCACUGGACCUGAGUAAGCAGAAGGCUUUUCAGAAUUACAGCCUGAACUAUUUCUUGAGCAAUUUGGGAACUCAUUUCUAAAGCAGUCCUCAGAUUCACACAACAUAGUUUGUGACGGGGUAUGCCCAGAGCAGCUGUCUUGUUGAUUGGGGUGCACCCUGACUAAUGGCGUGCUGGCAAAGGUUUAACAACAGGCUCCAGAGGAGGGCAGACUUGAAGUGGAGCCUUCAGGGGGCAGUGUGAGGGGUGCUGAUUUCAAGCAACUCAUCUGGUAUUACUGAACAUGAAGUUGGGAAGAGAUAUGCAUAACUGAAGUGGGUGAGAGCCAGUCCAGCACCCUGUGGAGAGUGUGGAAGAUGAUCAAAGUAUGACAUUUCUUCUACCCUAGAGGUUGGCAUUUCUGCAGGCACAAAUGAGCUUGGUUUUCAAGCACCAGUCUUUGAACACAAGGAAUUCUUUUAAUGAUCACGCCGGACUAUAUAGACUUUGGAAUCAGACUCUUUGAAUUCCAGCUCUGCCAUUUACCAACUUUGACACUUUGGACAGGGUCUCAUUCUGUCACCCAGGCUGGAGUGCAGUGGCACGAUUAUAGCUCACUGCAACCUCAAA